Long non-coding RNA from Xenia sp. Carnegie-2017, 932 nucleotides. RefSeq lists it as uncharacterized. The record is from RefSeq and is a predicted model, not a curated record. The transcript is spliced from 3 exons. NCBI's taxonomy places the organism in Eukaryota, Metazoa, Cnidaria, Anthozoa, Malacalcyonacea, Xeniidae.
UCUCAAAGAAGUUUACAACGAUAAACCUCAAAAUACUGAUGUGUUUCCUGCUGGUAUUGGUGAAAACCCACGAGAUAAAAGCUUUGUUCCACAUAUUCCCAGAAGUAAACAACGCUUUUCACGAUAUGAAACACCAGAUGACUUGCCAGAUCCAAUACUUGGACCGACUUUUACAUGUUUAGUGAUCGAUCAAUUCGAGCGUGUUCGUGACGGAGACAGAUUUUACUAUGAAAGGAGAGGCAUUUUUACAUCUCGUCAACGUAGAGCUAUCAAUCAACGUAAGCUGUCUGACGUUGUCUGUAACAACGUGGAUGUUGUGUCAGUUCAAAGAGAUGCUUUUCUUACUAAUUACAAGAAUGUCUGCGACUCAAGCAGGGUAUUGAAUCUCAAACCUUGGCAAGAAUUCCCAAAAGCCUGUUUCCCAAAUCCCUGCAAAAAUGGUGGAUCUUGUAGGAUAAAGCGCAGAAGAAAACAAUCAAGAGGCAGAAGAGGUCUUCCUACUUGUAGAUGCUUGUUUGGAUUUGCAGGUCGAUGGUGUCAAAACAAAAAAAGUCAAUUCAAAAGGACAUGAUUUAUUACAAAGAUUGAUGACAUAAAAUUAACUUGAUUUAUAAUAUAUAUUUCUUUUUUCAUGUCUGAACCAUUAAUUAUUAAGUUUGUGCAUUUUACAGUUUACGUCAUUGUAUUAUAAUAUAAAUAAUUUAACUUUGCUGUGCAGAAAAUUUAGUCAUUACGAAAGUUUUUGUGUCAUUUGUAACUAUAUCUAAGUUUUAGCUACAAUAUAAAUGGCAGCUUUCUUCAAGCCAUUUAUUUAAGCGCUGGCCAACCAGCAAGUUAUGUUUUUUUUCACUUUGAGUCAAAGAGACAUUUAGUUUUAAUAUAGUUGUUUAUAAAUAUGGUUCUAUCAAAUUAAAGAUAUUUAAUUAUAUCAA